AGAUGUGUGAGAGAUCUUGCUGUAACAGCUGUCGCUCCACUGAUGGCCACGGUUGAUUUGACUGAUCUGGCUGACUAGGCAGGUAUUUCCUUCCUUCCUCACGGUUCCAUGUGUCUCUCCUGAAGUUGCAUGCUAGGUGGAAGAGGUCACCUUUCUUGAUAGAGAAGGAUCAUUCUUCCAUCAAGCAUAUACAAGUAGCUGUGUUCUCCUUCUAGAACUUUCAGACAAGUUCUCAAAAAAAAAAAAAAAAGACACUGAGCCAAAAGGUGUCAG
This 273-nucleotide small nuclear RNA is filed under the name Carlito syrichta (Philippine tarsier). RNAcentral describes it as "7SK RNA (ENSTSYG00000022741.2)". It matches the Rfam family "7SK RNA". Rfam says of the family: 7SK was discovered as an abundant small nuclear RNA in the mid-70s but a possible function has only recently been suggested. Two independent studies have found that 7SK RNA binds the CDK9/cyclin T complex (known as elongation factor P-TEFb). Lineage: Eukaryota; Metazoa; Chordata; Mammalia; Primates; Tarsiidae. The record is from Rfam by way of RNAcentral.